CCUGUGGAGGUCCAUCCCAGCUCCAUCAGGAGUCCCCCCUCCUGUGAGCUGAAUUGGAGAGUGACUACCUGCCUCCUAACAGCAUUUCCUUUUUUCUUUUUCUUUUCUUUUUCUCUUUUUUUACAAGGAGAAUUAUUUUUGGCUCUGUUUUUCCCCUCCUCAUCUUUACUGGUUAUUCUGGAGCCAAAAAAAUCCCCUUAGGAAAGGAGAAAGGGGUUUAUAAAGGUUCAAAAUGAAUGGCUCACACUGAAAAAACUUUAAAGAAAUGGUCUUAAAAUACGUUUUAUGGGUGUAUUUAAAACCCAUUUUCUCAGAAAUUCCUUCACCCUGCAACUCUUUGGACUUCAUAAGUUGCUACUGCCCAAAUUAGGGGUGAUGUAAGUUACUAUUUGGCUGUUAUAAAGGCCUGUGUGUAGAGUUGCUAUAUUAAUUAGUGAAGGUUGUAAAAGUUCAAUAGUGAAGUUUUCUCAUGUUUGCAUUCAUUUUGGGUUACAUUUUUAUCAUGUAAGUACUGAGUCAUGAGUGCAGAAUCAUCAAGGAUAUUCCAGAGCAGUGGAGCGCAGAGGCGAGGCAUCUCAGAGACCUCACAUGAACUGACAUUUGUACCGGGCUGUGAUAUUUUUCACCCACUUUGGAUCAACAGAAACAGGACAGAGAUCUGAAAAGAAAGGCGCCGGUAGUGUAGCGAUAGAGGCAUCCCUGGAGAACUGACCCUGUCUCAACCCCCUGUUUCAACUCAUGCAAAGACUGUGGCAGAAAACCGAGGCACUGGCCAGCCCAGGCAGGAGGGUAAAGAGGAGGGCAGAGGUCCCGCUGAUGGGCACAAGAAAGUGCAGGAAGAGGACAAUGUGGGGAGGGUGGGGCUUGGCAUCAGUGUUCACCCAUCAUGCCAUUCCACUCCCAGGACACUCGACUGUGCAAAGCACUGUUCCAACACUGUAAUUUGGACUAAAAAUAUUGGACUUUCUUUCCUCCUUCCUUUUUUCUAAAUACUGUGGCCACUUUUUUCAAUCCUGUGGCUCACCAGAAUGGUCGUUCGCCCCUAUCAAAGCGUACAUGUGCAGGACCUCUCGCUGACUCGUGCCCAUAGUUGUCUUGGUUGCAUGUUAACAGCAGGAUAUGUGAUUAAUAAAACUGAAUUAAAAUGUCCUGUUCGAAAUAUUAAAGAAGCCGUGUUUUAUCUGCCAUGUGUUUUCUUUCCAAAAUCAUUGUUAGCUCAGGCUCAUCUUGUGGUUAAUGUUGCAAUUACUGUUUCUAAAGUGCAAUGUUUGGGUAGCUGUAAUCCACCUUAGGACAUUUGCUGCUUCUGCCAUGAAUCACAGAAUGUUUUUCAGCACACACCUACAUUUAUUUUACCACUUAAAAAAGUGAUGCAAUAGGAACUGAAUUCCAAGGAAAAUCUCAUAUAAAGUAAACUGUACACUGAGAAUGUCUGAAAUUGUGUAUUUUGUAUUCACUCUUGAAAAACAUAAAAUAAUCUCCUGGAGUCUCUA
This is a long non-coding RNA of Acanthochromis polyacanthus (spiny chromis), 1493 nucleotides long. RefSeq lists it as uncharacterized. The transcript has 2 exons. Lineage: Eukaryota; Metazoa; Chordata; Actinopteri; Pomacentridae. The record is from RefSeq and is a predicted model, not a curated record.